This 490-nucleotide ribosomal RNA is filed under the name uncultured bacterium. RNAcentral describes it as "partial 16S ribosomal RNA". It matches the Rfam family "Bacterial small subunit ribosomal RNA", at positions 30 to 507 of the family's 1533-position model. The record is from RNAcentral.
AUUGAACGCUGGCGGCAUGCUUUACACAUGCAAGUCGGACGGCAGCACAGAGAAGCUUGCUUCUUGGGUGGCGAGUGGCGAACGGGUGAGUAAUAUAUCGGAGCGUACCGAGUAAUGGGGGAUAACUAAUCGAAAGAUUAGCUAAUACCGCAUAUUCUCUGAGGAGGAAAGCAGGGGACCUUCGGGCCUUGCGUUAUUCGAGCGGCCGAUAUCUGAUUAGCUAGUUGGUGGGGUAAAGGCCUACCAAGGCGACGAUCAGUAGCGGGUCUGAGAGGAUGAUCCGCCACACUGGGACUGAGACACGGCCCAGACUCCUACGGGAGGCAGCAGUGGGGAAUUUUGGACAAUGGGCGCAAGCCUGAUCCAGCCAUGCCGCGUGUCUGAAGAAGGCCUUCGGGUUGUAAAGGACUUUUGUCAGGGAAGAAAAGGCUGUUGCUAAUAUCGACAGCUGAUGACGGUACCUGAAGAAUAAGCACCGGCUAACUACGUG